This 1157-nucleotide long non-coding RNA is filed under the name Mytilus galloprovincialis (Mediterranean mussel). The record is from RNAcentral. Lineage: Eukaryota; Metazoa; Mollusca; Bivalvia; Mytilida; Mytilidae.
AAACUAUCUACAUGUGUAAAACUUGGGGGGGAGGGGACUUCUGUAAGCAAUUGAUCAAACCUUAGUUUCAACACAAAAUUAUUAAGUCUUGAAUUGUCAAGUUUCAAAAAUAACAAUAAAAGGUAUGAAUAAAGAGAGUAUUGGGGAACACACCUAUGAGACAGUAACCCUAAAAUACAAUAAACUUAAAUAUAUAUGUCUUGCCUGACAUAUAAAAUAAACCUGCUACAAACUACUUGUAAAUGGGAGUGGAUGUCUCUUUUCAAUUUCAAGUGCUUCUCAAGCUUACCUGAUUAAAAAUAUAUAUUUAAGUUAAAUUCAGUAAAGAGUAUGAAAUAAAAAUUUAUUUAGUACACAAUUUGAUGAAUUAAAAUACCUAAUUAAUUCAGAAAUAGACCUAAUCAGUAAACUGUACAUUAAAGUGUUAGUGCCUCCAUUUGACUUUGUGACCUUCAUGGCAGUGAAGGCAAUUUUAGCAGAAAACAAGAAUGUGUCCAUAGUACACGGAUGCCCCACUCGCACUAUCAUUUUCUAUGUUCAGUGGACCAUGAAAUUGGGGUCAAAACUUUAAUUUGGAAUUAAAAUUAGAAAGAUCAUAUCAUAGGGAACAUGUGUACUAAGUUUCAAGUUGAUGUAACUUUAACUUCAUCAAAAACUACCUUGACCAAAAACUUUAACCUGAACUUUGCACUAUCAUUUUCUAUGUUCAGUGAACCAUGAAAUUGGGGUCAAAACUAUAAUUUGGCAUUAAAAUUAGAAAGAUCAUAUCAUGGGGAACAUGUGUAUCAAGUUUCAAGUUGAUUGGACUUCAGCUUCAUCAAAAACUACCUCGACCAAAAACUUUAACCUGAAGCGAACGGACGCACAGACAGACGGACGAACGAACGGAGGCACAGACCAGAAAACAUAAUGCCCCUCUACUAUCGUAGGUGGGGCAUAAAAAGUAUGAAUAAAAGAACAUAUAGAGUAUACAUCAAUGAGACAAGUGUUUGUACUACAAUAGGUAGUAACACAUGUAUUUGCAACAUUUAAGGGAUAUGGGUCAACCGGUCAAGUUGUUUUCAAAAGUACUAUAUGUAUUAGACCAGAUGAGAAAACAAUACAAACUUUCUUAUAAGAAACUACCACAAACACUUAAAAAAAUUCUGAAAUUUCAU